GGAUGAUUAGCUCAGUUGGUAGAGCAGCUGACUCUUAAUCAGCGGGUCGCAGGUUCGAUCCCUGCAUCAUCCA
Fibrobacter sp. is the source of this 73-nucleotide non-coding RNA. NCBI's taxonomy places the organism in Bacteria, Pseudomonadati, Fibrobacterota, Fibrobacteria, Fibrobacterales, Fibrobacteraceae. The record is from Rfam.